GAUGAACGCUGGCGGCGUGCCUAAUACAUGCAAGUCGAGCGAACGGACGAGAAGCUUGCUUCUCUGAUGUUAGCGGCGGACGGGUGAGUAACACGUGGAUAACCUACCUAUAAGACUGGGAUAACUUCGGGAAACCGGAGCUAAUACCGGAUAAUAUUUUGAACCGCAUGGUUCAAAAGUGAAAGACGGUCUUGCUGUCACUUAUAGAUGGAUCCGCGCUGCAUUAGCUAGUUGGUAAGGUAACGGCUUACCAAGGCAACGAUGCAUAGCCGACCUGAGAGGGUGAUCGGCCACCCUGGAACUGAGACACGGUCCAGACUCCUACGGGAGGCCGCAGUAGGGAAUCUUCCGCAAUGGGCGAAAGCCUGACGGAGCAACGCCGCGUGAGUGAUGAAGGUCUUCGGAUCGUAAAACUCUGUUAUUAGGGAAGAACAUAUGUGUAAGUAACUGUGCACAUCUUGACGGUACCUAAUCAGAAAGCCACGGCUAACUACGUG
Molecule: ribosomal RNA, 497 nt
Filed under: uncultured bacterium
Lineage: Bacteria
Description: partial 16S ribosomal RNA
Rfam family: Bacterial small subunit ribosomal RNA
Source: RNAcentral